Molecule: small RNA, 587 nt
Filed under: Pan troglodytes (chimpanzee)
Lineage: Eukaryota; Metazoa; Chordata; Mammalia; Primates; Hominidae
Description: retained intron
Source: RNAcentral
AUGUUUUAUUUCAUUUUCAGGGUCUUAUAAAAUUCUACAGAAGUCCCAGAAACCCAGUGCAUUAAGUGACAUUGACCAGCAAUACUUAAACUAUAUAUUCAGUGUGGUGCUCCUGGCAUUUGCAUCUCAUCCCACAGGUGAUCUCUUCAGCGUCCUGGACUUCCCAUUCCUGUACUUCUACAGAUUCCAUGGUAGCUGCUGUGCCAGUGGAUUUUUGGGAUUCUUUCUCAUGUUCAGUACAGUGAAGCUAAAAAACCUUCUGGCCCCAGGGCAGUGUGCAGCCUGGAUUUUCUUUGCUAAGAUAAUCACAGCUGGCUUAUCAAUAUUGCUGUUUGAUGCGAUCCUGACCAGUGCAACCACGGGAUGCCUCCUGCUCGGUGCGCUUGGAGAGGCCUUGCUGGUUUUCUCAGAGCGGAAGAGCUCCUGAACAAGACGGUCAAGAGAAAGACUCACAGGCUGCUGCAGGAGAACAGCUUGUACACCUGUGUACGAGCCCCUGGUCUCAUAGCUCCCUGUUGGAUGUGUCAGAAAGAGGAACGCAAGGACAGCGAGGCCGGUUGCUACAGAGGAGCGGUCUGUUACAUCUU